UGGGGAAUCUUCCGCAAUGGACGAAAGUCUGACGGAGCAACGCCGCGUGAGCGAUGACGGCCUUCGGGUUGUAAAGCUCUGUUAAUCGGGACGAAAGGCCUUCUUGCGAAUAGUGAGAAGGAUUGACGGUACCGGAAUAGAAAGCCACGGCUAACUACGUGCCAGCAGCCGCGGUAAUACGUAGGUGGCAAGCGUUGUCCGGAAUUAUUGGGCGUAAAGCGCGCGCAGGCGGAUAGGUCAGUCUGUCUUAAAAGUUCGGGGCUUAACCCCGUGAUGGGAUGGAAACUGCCAAUCUAGAGUAUCGGAGAGGAAAGUGGAAUUCCUAGUGUAGCGGUGAAAUGCGUAGAUAUUAGGAAGAACACCAGUGGCGAAGGCGACUUUCUGGACGAAAACUGACGCUGAGGCGCGAAAGCCAGGGGAGCGAACGGG
Molecule: ribosomal RNA, 429 nt
Filed under: uncultured Veillonella sp.
Lineage: Bacteria; Bacillati; Bacillota; Negativicutes; Veillonellales; Veillonellaceae
Description: bacterial SSU rRNA
Rfam family: Bacterial small subunit ribosomal RNA
Source: RNAcentral